RNAcentral lists this ribosomal RNA (468 nucleotides) under uncultured bacterium. RNAcentral describes it as "partial 16S ribosomal RNA". It matches the Rfam family "Bacterial small subunit ribosomal RNA", at positions 28 to 507 of the family's 1533-position model. The record is from RNAcentral.
GACGAACGCUGGCGGCGUGCUUAACACAUGCAAGUCGAACGGAAAGGCCCUGCUUUUGUGCGGUGCUCGAGUGGCGAACGGGUGAGUAACACGUGAGUAACCUGCCCUUGACUUUGGGAUAACUUCAGGAAACUGGGGCUAAUACCGGAUAGGAGCUCCUGCUGCAUGGUGGGGGUUGGAACGUUUCGGCGGUUGGGGAUGGACUCGCGGCUUAUCAGCUUGUUGGUGGGGUAGUGGCUUACCAAGGCUUUGACGGGUAGCCGGCCUGAGAGGGUGACCGGCCACAUGGGGACUGAGAGACGGCCCAGACGCCUACGGGAGGCAGCAGGGGGGAAUAUGGCACAAUGGGCGGAAGCCUGAUGCAGCAACGCCGCGUGCGGGAUGACGGCCUGCGGGGUGUAAACAGCUUUCGCCUGUGACGAAGCGUGAGUGACGGUAAUGGGUAAAGAAGCACCGGCUAACUACGUG